GCAAGUCGAGCGAGAAAUUGAGUGCUUGCACUUAAUGGAAAGCGGCGAACGGGUGAGUAAUAUGUUGGUAUCUGCCCCUUGGUCAGGGAUAGCCCACUGAAAAGUGGAUUAAUACCGGAUAGUCUCUUCGGAGUAAAAAUUUAUUGCCAAGGGAGGAGCCUUCAUUCUAUCAGCUUGUUGGGGAGGUAACGGAGGACCAAGGCUAUGACGGAGAGCUGGUCUGAGAGGAUGAGC
This 234-nucleotide ribosomal RNA is filed under the name uncultured bacterium. RNAcentral's name for it is "partial 16S ribosomal RNA". It matches the Rfam family "Bacterial small subunit ribosomal RNA", at positions 57 to 305 of the family's 1533-position model. The record is from RNAcentral.